CAGAGACUGCAAGCGUUAUUCGGAUUCACUGGGCGUAAAGGGUGCGCAGGCGGCCAUGUGUGUGAGGCGUGAAAGCCCGGGGCUUAACCCCGGAAUUGCACCUCAAACUACGUGGCUAGAGCAUUGGAGAGGGUAGCAGAAUUCAUGGUGUAGCAGUGAAAUGCGUAGAUAUCAUGAGGAAUACCAGAGGCGAAGGCGGCUACCUGGACAAUUGCUGACGCUCAGGCACGAAAGCGUGGGGAGCAAAAGGGAUUAGAUACCCCUGUAGUCCACGCCCUAAACGGUGCACACUAGGUCUUGGCGGAUUCGACCCCCCCAGGGCCCCAGCUAACGCGUUAAGUGUGCCGCCUGAGGACUACGGCCGCAAGGCUA
This 372-nucleotide ribosomal RNA is filed under the name uncultured organism. RNAcentral describes it as "bacterial SSU rRNA". It matches the Rfam family "Bacterial small subunit ribosomal RNA", at positions 526 to 896 of the family's 1533-position model. The record is from RNAcentral.